This 367-nucleotide ribosomal RNA is filed under the name uncultured organism. RNAcentral's name for it is "bacterial LSU rRNA". It matches the Rfam family "Bacterial large subunit ribosomal RNA", at positions 2099 to 2465 of the family's 2925-position model. The record is from RNAcentral.
CUUUACUGUAACUUGACAUCGCUGUUUAGUUUUUGCUGUGUAGCAUAGGUGGGAUACUUUGAAGCGCAGGCGCUAGCUUGCGUGGAGUCACCGGUGAAAUACCACCCUGCAAAAAACGAACAGCUCACCGACCAUCAUUAACUGGUGGCGGGACGAUGUCUGGUGGGCAGUUUGACUGGGGCGGUCGCCUCCCAAAAAGUAACGGAGGCGCCCUAAGGUCCCCUCAGGUUGGACGGAAAUCAACCGACGAGUGCAUAGGCAAAAGGGGGCUUGACUGAGAGACCGACGGGUCGAUCAGGUACGAAAGUAGGGCUAAGUGAUCCGGUGGUACCGCGUGGAAGGGCCAUCGCUCAACGGAUAAAAGGUA